Molecule: ribosomal RNA, 676 nt
Filed under: Gordonia sp. 11533
Lineage: Bacteria; Bacillati; Actinomycetota; Actinomycetes; Mycobacteriales; Gordoniaceae
Description: bacterial SSU rRNA
Rfam family: Bacterial small subunit ribosomal RNA
Source: RNAcentral
GGCCCAGCUUGCUGGGUACUCGAGUGGCGAACGGGUGAGUAACACGUGGGUGAUCUGCCCUGCACUCUGGGAUAAGCCUGGGAAACUGGGUCUAAUACCGGAUAUGACCAACUGUCGCAUGGUGGUUGGUGGAAAGCUUUUGCGGUGUGGGAUGGGCCCGCGGCCUAUCAGCUUGUUGGUGGGGUAAUGGCCUACCAAGGCGACGACGGGUAGCCGACCUGAGAGGGUGAUCGGCCACACUGGGACUGAGACACGGCCCAGACUCCUACGGGAGGCAGCAGUGGGGAAUAUUGCACAAUGGGCGCAAGCCUGAUGCAGCGACGCCGCGUGAGGGAUGACGGCCUUCGGGUUGUAAACCUCUUUCACCAGGGACGAAGCGUGAGUGACGGUACCUGGAGAAGAAGCACCGGCCAACUACGUGCCAGCAGCCGCGGUAAUACGUAGGGUGCGAGCGUUGUCCGGAAUUACUGGGCGUAAAGAGCUCGUAGGCGGUUUGUCGCGUCGUCUGUGAAAUUCUGCAACUCAAUUGCAGGCGUGCAGGCGAUACGGGCAGACUUGAGUACUACAGGGGAGACUGGAAUUCCUGGUGUAGCGGUGAAAUGCGCAGAUAUCAGGAGGAACACCGGUGGCGAAGGCGGGUCUCUGGGUAGUAACUGACGCUGAGGAGCGAAAGCGU